CAAAUCUCUUUCUUUUCCCUUUCCUUUUAUUUGCUCCGCCUUUAUUAAUUUCCGUUUCCCGUAAUUUCCUCCUCCUUUUCCCAGUUCCCACCUUGCUUCCUCUCCUCGCUUUGCUUCCUCUCUGGCUCUCUCUCACAUGCCUGCCUACUACUCCCUCAAGCAAGCAAGCAAGCAAGCUGCAAGAGGUCAGGAGGAGCCGUGACUGUGAGUGAGCGGCGUCUGGUGUGAACUGUGAAGUGAGGACUUGUUGGAGGAGGACGGAGCGCGGAGGGUCAUGGCAUGGUGAUGGACCUGCUGCUCCCCCUCACUUUGCCCCUAGGUACCGUACAGGCGUGCGCGCGGGCAUCAGUCACCACCCCUUCCUAACUCCCACCAAAUCUCUCUCCCCUGCUUUCCGCUUUCUCCCACUGUCUCUCUCUCUCUUGAUUUUUUUAUCUGUCUUCUAGCUCCAGAUUUCAAAAAAUUAUUAUCUCUUGUGAGCAACUUAUAGCUGACUACUAGCUGAGACUAAGGCCCUGUUCCAAUCUCGUGAGAUAAACUUUAGCAGCUUUUUUUUAGCUACUUUUAGCCAUUUGUAGUCUAAACAGGAGAGCUAAUGGUGGCAAUUGAAACUAAACUUUAGCACUUCAACUCAUAUAGCUAAAGUUUAGCAGGAAGCUAAAGUUUAUCCCGUGAGAUUGAAACGGGACCUAAAAGGGUGCGGUUUCUGGCUUAACUUCCAUGUUACCGCUAGUGCUCUAGGCAGCCUUAGCUAGCCUCGCAGUCCUGGGAGGAGGAGAAGGACAAGGUCUCUGAUCAG
This 799-nucleotide long non-coding RNA is filed under the name Zea mays. Its description in RNAcentral is "long non-coding RNA (ZMAY_LNC005554)". Lineage: Eukaryota; Viridiplantae; Streptophyta; Magnoliopsida; Poales; Poaceae. The record is from RNAcentral.